CCUACGGGUGGCAGCAGUGGGGAAUAUUGGGCAAUGGGCGCAAGCCUGACCCAGCAACGCCGCGUGAAGGAAGAAGGCUUUCGGGUUGUAAACUUCUUUUAAGAGGGAAGAGCAGAAGACGAUACCUCUUGAAUAAGCCACGGCUAACUACGUACCAGCAGCCGCGGUAAUACGUAGGUGGCAAGCGGUGUCCGGAUUUACUGGGUGUAAAGGGCGUGCAGCCGGGAAGACAAGUCAGGUGUGAAAUCCAGCGGCGCAACCGCGGAACUGCAUGUGAAACUGUUUUGCUGGAGGACCGGAGAGGUCAUCGGAAUUCCUGGUGUAGCGGUGAAAGGCGUAGAUAUAAGGAAGAACACCAGUGGCGAAGGCGGAUGACUGGACGGCAACUGACGGUGAGGCGCGAAAGUGUGGGGAGCAAACAGGAGUAGAUACCCCUGUAGUC
Molecule: ribosomal RNA, 442 nt
Filed under: uncultured bacterium
Lineage: Bacteria
Description: partial 16S ribosomal RNA
Rfam family: Bacterial small subunit ribosomal RNA
Source: RNAcentral